AUUGAACGCUGGCGGCAGGCCUAACACAUGCAAGUCAGGCGGAUGAAGGGAGCUUGCUCCUGGAUUCAGCGGCGGACGGGUGAGUAAUGCCUAGGAAUCUGCCUGGUAGUGGGGGAUAACGUCCGGAAACGGGCGCUAAUACCGCAUACGUCCUGAGGGAGAAAGUGGGGGAUCUUCGGACCUCACGCUAUCAGAUGAGCCUAGGUCGGAUUAGCUAGUUGGUGGGGUAAAGGCCUACCAAGGCGACGAUCCGUAACUGGUCUGAGAGGAUGAUCAGUCACACUGGAACUGAGACACGGUCCAGACUCCUACGGGAGGCAGCAGUGGGGAAUAUUGGACAAUGGGCGAAAGCCUGAUCCAGCCAUGCCGCGUGUGUGAAGAAGGUCUUCGGAUUGUAAAGCACUUUAAGUUGGGAGGAAGGGCAGUAAGUUAAUACCUUGCUGUUUUGACGUUACCAACAGAAUAAGCACCGGCUAACUUCGUG
RNAcentral lists this ribosomal RNA (484 nucleotides) under uncultured bacterium. Its description in RNAcentral is "partial 16S ribosomal RNA". It matches the Rfam family "Bacterial small subunit ribosomal RNA", at positions 30 to 507 of the family's 1533-position model. The record is from RNAcentral.